AUUGAACGCUGGCGGCAGGCCUAACACAUGCAAGUCGAGCGAGCGGCGGACGGGUGAGUAAUGUCUGGUAAACUGCCUGAUGGAGGGGGAUCACUACUGGAAACGGUAGCUAAUACCGCAUACCAUCAGAUGUGCCCAGCUGGGAUUAGCUAGUAGGUGGGGUAACGGCUCACCUAGGCGACGAUCCCUAGCUGGUCUGAGAGGAUGACCAGCCACACUGGAACUGAGACACGGGCCAGACUCCUACGGGAGGCAGCAGUGGGGAAUAUUGCACAAUGGGCGAAAGCCUGAUGCAGCCAUGCCGCGUGUGUGAAGAAGGCUUUCGGGUUGUAAAGCACUUUCAGCGGGGAGGCGUUACCAGAAGAAGAAGCACCGGCUAACUCCGUGCCAGCAGCCGCGGUAAUAC
RNAcentral lists this ribosomal RNA (406 nucleotides) under uncultured bacterium. RNAcentral describes it as "partial 16S ribosomal RNA". It matches the Rfam family "Bacterial small subunit ribosomal RNA", at positions 30 to 526 of the family's 1533-position model. The record is from RNAcentral.